Molecule: long non-coding RNA, 1312 nt
Organism: Mirounga angustirostris (Northern elephant seal)
Lineage: Eukaryota; Metazoa; Chordata; Mammalia; Carnivora; Phocidae
Exons: 4
Source: RefSeq, a predicted model, not a curated record
CGCAACUCCAGAGCAGGCCUCCCGGAGGAAGGGCAGACGGAGGUGAGACGAACACUUAUUAAGCACUUGCUGUGUGCACCGACGCCUGUGAGUUUACACGCCUCUUCCCACUGAUCACACAACAGUCCCAACAGAACACCAUCACCUGCCCGGUUCAGUGCUGUUCCUCCAGAGCCUACAACAGCAAGUGUUCAGCAUAGAUUAACUGGACAAGAACAAUUAACUCCUUAUUAGCCGUAGGUCCCUAAUGUGAGGCAGAGGUGGCAUUUCCAGCCUCACGGAGUUGUGAAGAGGAUGAAAUGAGAUCAAGUCUGUAAAGGCCAACAAGAGAGCCUGGCAGUCAACAGGCACUAGGGAAAUGGUGAAAACCAGUCACCUGGGCCACAGAGGAGGAGCCUCCCCCUGCAAGAGCCCCAGGCCCCGGUGGCACGGUCCCCCCAGGCCGUGCUCCUGGGGCAGAAGGACGGGUGACAAGAGCCCACCUCUCCACCCCCUCUCCCACUCAAGCCAUAAAGCUUGUUGUUAAUGUUACGUGGACCCCCCCAUCCAAGGGGCACCCCUGCCCCACUCUGGGGCCCUCCACAGGUUCCUCGCCGGGGCUCCCCUCCCCUAGACCUUCUGCUGAGCAGCAGCCCUGCAGUGUGCCGACCCCUCCUGAGGCCCCCACCCUCCCACUGGCGCUCAAACCCACUCUUUCCAAGCACCGACUUAGUGAGCUGGGCUUUGCCGCUCAGCGGUCACGACCUCACAGUGCGGGCUCUGUGAGGCCACCCCCUCUGCUGCCCGCCUCCAAGCAGGACUUUACCUCACAAACCAGGUCAGAUGUUUGGUUUCCAAGGCACUCCAGAAAAGGACACCUGGCCACAGCAGUUCACCCACCCAUUCUUACACAAUUAUUUUGGGAAGUUCUUCUCAAAGCCCAACCCCGAGGCCUCAAGCUGCAGUGCCAUCCUCUCUGGUCUUGGGAAAGACCCGGGCAUAAAAAGGGUGACGAAGGAAAGGCUGGAGAUGCGGGGGAAGGGGAGGAGAGGAGGCUCAUUACACUCCGACUUCCCCGAACUCCCUCUAGAAGCACCCGACUGCCCAACUCACGCCUUAAAAACUUACUUUUACUUUCACCCAAUGUUCAGAGUCAAAGGAGCUGCAUUAACGGGUUUUCAGUGGGGGGAGAGGUGGGUGAGGCCAAGGGGAAUGAUGGUGGAGGCCGGAGAACAGACAACCCCACCCCACCCCCAGCCGUGUGCGGGGCCCGGGCCUGAAGGAAGUUUGGGGCCCGAGUCGACCCCGUCUCUCCUCUCUCCUUCUGUCGCGC